RNAcentral lists this long non-coding RNA (735 nucleotides) under Anser brachyrhynchus (Pink-footed goose). Its description in RNAcentral is "lncRNA (ENSABRG00000011582.1)". Lineage: Eukaryota; Metazoa; Chordata; Aves; Anseriformes; Anatidae. The record is from RNAcentral.
UAAAGAGCUGGCACAUUACUCCCCACAGGUGGCUGCAUUUUAGCGGCUGGGUGAAGUGAGUCUAUUUCAUCUUUCAGCCAAAGUGAGUACUAAACAUAACAUAGGGCUCCUCUAUUUCCACAGGCUAUUAACCUUCCAAAACAUUCACCUCGGAGGCUAAACUUCGCAGUACUUCAACUUCGAUUCUGAGAAAUGUCUCUAUUCCAGAAUGACACAUUAAGUGAGAGUGAAUUAAGUCCCCGUGCAACAAAUGUCAUGCUUCAAAUAAAAUUGGUACAUUAACUUGGAAGAGGAGAGAAAAGGACAGUGGAGGAAGGAAGCUGAGCAGAGAGAUGAAGCUAAGCAACAUCUGAAAGGUAGCUGACCAGUGCAAUGGAUGUUUUAGACUCAACAAAUACCCUGUUAAGCUAGAUUCCUAACAUAGCCAUGGAUUUUCAUUUCUGUUCUGAAAGAAUUUGGAUCUGAUGUAACCCAGGUGUUAUUCAUGAAGAAUAUAUUCAUAAAAGUAUUAGUCCUGCCAGAAACAUUCCAGCCCAUCAAAAGAGAAUAGAAAAACUUGCUGAACUCUGGAAGACAGUGGUUAUAUGGAGAAGAAAAGGUAAGAGUAAUUUCUAUGCAUUUCUUAAGGUAUAUCUAUUUGAAGCCUGGCAUAAUUUUUUUAAUGAUAGAGGUUUUUAGGUACAUAGUCUAGAUGCAUAGGUUUUUUUUACAGAUCAUAUCAAUGAUAUAGGGAAG